Molecule: ribosomal RNA, 441 nt
Filed under: uncultured bacterium
Lineage: Bacteria
Description: partial 16S ribosomal RNA
Rfam family: Bacterial small subunit ribosomal RNA
Source: RNAcentral
CCUACGGGAGGCUGCAGUGGGGAAUAUUGCGCAAUGGGGGCAACCCUGACGCAGCAACGCCGCGUGAUUGAAGAAGGCCUUCGGGUUGUAAAGAUCUUUAAUCGGGGACGAAGGUUGACGGUACCCGAAGAAUAAGCACCGGCUAACUCCGUGCCAGCAGCCGCGGUAAUACGGAGGGAGCAAGCGUUAUCCGGAUUUACUGGGUGUAAAGGGCGGGUAGGCGGGCCGGCAAGCCAGAAGUGAAAUCUGGGGGCUUAACCCCCAAACUGCUUUUGGAACUGCGUGUCUUGAGUGUUGGCGAGGCAGGCGGAAUUCCCCGUGUCGCGGUGAACUGCGUAGUUAUUGGGCGGAACACCAGUGGCGAAGGCGGCCUGCUGGACAUUACCUGACGCUGAGGCGCGAAAGCGUGGGGAGCAAACAGGAUUAGAUACCCCAGUAGUC